This 1272-nucleotide long non-coding RNA is filed under the name Oryctolagus cuniculus (rabbit). Its description in RNAcentral is "lncRNA (ENSOCUG00000038322.1)". The record is from RNAcentral. Lineage: Eukaryota; Metazoa; Chordata; Mammalia; Lagomorpha; Leporidae.
ACACGGGCGCUGUUGGCUGGAGCUGCCUGGGCCCCACGCGUGUCACCCGGCAGGUGAACACCAGCCAGGGCCUCCCGCCCUUCCUGCGGGCCACAGAGACCAAACCUUCUCCCCCACCCCCCGGGCAACAGGUGGCUCACUCAUGCCCCACCACCCCAGCCUCCUGAGUCCUGGCCGGGACCCCCAGAGAACUCCCUGUACCAGUAUGCACGUGUACACACGUGUGUGUGCUCCGUGUGUGUGUACACACACAUGUGCCUCCGAGGCAACCAAGUGUCCGCGGUGGCUAAUUCAGCUCUCUGGCUCCUGACCUUGGGUUGAGUGACCAGGGCACUUGGAUCCUGGUGGUUUUGUCCCUCGGAGGGAGCAGCUUGAAGCUCUCUGUUCUCCGAGCCAGGCUCAGUUCAGGGCCCACACGGCUGUCCACUCCCAGGACAGGCCAGGAGGCAGGGGAAGGGCCCAUCUGUGGGGCUGGGAGGACACACAGGGCUGCUGGGGAACAAGUCCAGGCCGCCCGAACCAGGACAGAAGGGGCUGUGGGGGAGGGGGCGGGGAGCCCGGACCUGCGCAAUCACUCUGCCUUUCUGGCCUUGGUGUCAGCUGUCCGGGGCCAUGGGGAGCCCUCCAACUCCGUGCCCCAGGGUCACCAGACGGCUGUGCAAGGUGUGUGUGUGCCCCGCCCCCCGCAGGUGGGGGUCCCCUGUGAGCUAGGCAGGGAGAACACCUCGUGUUCUAGAAAGAGACAUCGCGAGGAGGCCACGUCUUUCUUCACUCUUUACUGUGUAAAAAUAAACUCAACAAUUCAUGUCAUUUCAGCAAGAAAAAAAAAAAAAAGCAAGAAGACCAGUAGAAAUAGUGCAUUUCCAGAAUUGCUGAUGGGAGGUGGCAGGUCCCACGGCUUUCACCCAUUUGGUACCCAAAAGGCUGCAGAUCACAUGAAGAAUGCACAGCUUUGGUUAGCAGAUGGAAGGGAGGGACAGUGGACUGUGACAACAUCAGCGGUAGGGGCUCGCAGUUGGUUUUGGCAAAUAAGACAAUGUGGGACUCUAAGUAUUGGGCUGUUUCUCCCUUCCACAAACGCACAUCAGUCCGCGGAGCAGCCUGCGCCAGGACCGGGCCCGCCCCCGGGGCGGCGGUGAGCCCCACGCCAGCCCCGCUCCCCCGCUCUGCCCCCGAGACACCCCCUCGGUCCCAGGUCCCAGGGCUGGUGACAGAGUGAUCUUUGCAGUCUUAGAAAAUAAACCGGGAAUCGACAAAAGGAAGAGAGAAGCA